Molecule: long non-coding RNA, 8713 nt
Filed under: Xyrichtys novacula (pearly razorfish)
Lineage: Eukaryota; Metazoa; Chordata; Actinopteri; Labriformes; Labridae
Source: RNAcentral
CCAGCAGAAGUACCUGUAAGGUGUACUGAAAGCUGGAGGUGCUAGCUCUGCUCAAGUUAGCCACACUCUGCAAUUCAACAUUUUUCGGUUGCAAACUUCAUUAUCCUAUGUUUGUAUUGAGUACUGAAGUAUGUUAGUAUUGGAGUCACCAAACUUCAAAUCCAAGUUCAGUCUUGUUUUUAAUAACAUAGGAUAUGUGACAAAGGCAAGACCCCUAAACGCUUACACUAAGUUUAAACGUACCCAGCAAUAUUUAUGGACUUUUAACCCUCUCUGUUUACAAAAAAAAAACAGUGUGCAAACCAUUACGUUUUAAGCAAAGUUUUCGUUUACAUUAACCCGUGUAUAUAUGCUGUCAAGAGCAUAUCAAACAUGUGGGUGGCAGCGUAGAGAGAAGCUCAAGAACCACGUUAGCCAAUCAGAAUCCUGCAUAGCAGCAACAACAACAACGUCCCUUCCUUCUUUCCUGUGCACAAUCUGCCGUUGGCUUCCCAAGUCUCAGUUUUCCACCAUUUUCCACCUUUUACAUGCAAACAGAGUUUUCCAAAAUCUCCACUCUGGCCGGAAUUUUUAAAAAGCUUUUUUUUCAGGGGCGAAUUCUCCGUUUGUGUCCAAACAAAGGGUGCAAACGAUGGUUAAUGUCUCAGUUUUUGAAAAUAACCAAGUACGAGUAAACGGGGCCUUAGUAUUAUGUAGAAAAACCCAGAACAUCACCUUACAGUGUGUACUUCACCCUGAGUGUGUUAUUUUAGCUCAUCAACAGAUGGAUCCAUGCUGAACAGAAGGCUCUGUUGAUGGAUUGGAGAGACUACAGCGCAAGACGGAGACUCAACUCGCAGGUAAAAGUUACGACAAUUUGUCAAGCAUGUCCAUGAAGAGUGCAGCGCUCUCUCCAAAUCGAAUCGCACAUCGGCAAUCUUUCUCCUGCACCGCCAUCAAUACAAAUAAUAUUUUAAUCCAUAAGGAUCAUCUGAAAGAAGGAACUCUCUAUAACGAAAUCAGGAUAACAGAAUCCUGAGAAUGUAUUUUCAUCACCGUCUACAACAAAAUAAGAACAGGUUGAUAUUUGAAGAGCAGCUGCUGCAUUAUGCGCCUGUCAGUCAGACAAUAAAGAGUAGGUGGGUGAAUGAAAAAGUUGUCUCAGUAAUAUAAAUGUUUGAAAGUAACAUCUGCUGUUAAGAGCAGGGGGGACUCCAUCAUUUCACCUCCUUUUAAUCUCUUUAUUCAUAUCCCAGUUCUUAUAAACUGUUUGUCCCUGCUGGACUGUUUCUGUCCUUGAAUAGCCUCAUUGUUCAGAAUAACUGGCUUUAUUAAUCAGAACUUUUUAAGUUGUUUCUGGAUCGACGUUACCAUCAGUGUCCUCUACAAUACAAGAUUACUGUGUACCAGACAUAUUGUUAAGUGCAAAUGGCAGAACACAGCAGGAAGAAACUCGGGACAGGGGCAUGAUUUAUUGGGUACAAGUUGAAUGCACUGUAAACCAGAGGAGAGGGAACUUUUUAAUGGAUUCUCUGUGAAAGACAAACAACUUGAAGUGUUCCUGUUCAUCUUGUUGAAUGGAUUUGGGGCCUCUGGCACUCGCCAGGUGAGCUGUCAGAACUUUAACAAGCUUAGUGGUUUACAGCGCUUUACUGGAAUCUUCUAGUUUCAUUUUCUCUAUUUUCUGCCUCUCUUUCAGGGCAAUAAAAUGACUAAUAUCCUACUGUCAGAUUUAUUCUGUCCCCUAGUUGGUUGCUUGGCUACAUAAAGCCUCUGUCAAUCUCAAUGUGCUGGCACAAAGCGAACAGCAGCAGUCAGUUUAAAACAGCCUCAGCGGAACCCCGCAAAAUCAAUAACACUUCAUUUGUGAUAGAUGUGAAAUAAAAUUAAUGAAAAAAUGUUCCAUUUCCAAGAAGGUUACACUUUUCUCUAAUCUGGGCUUUAUCACUGACCCGCUGUGUUCUCAUUUAUACUAAUUUGGUAGAGCAGAGAGGAAAACAAGAACUGUAUAGGUCUGCAGCUGCCAUGCCGACCUGACUCGUAAUAUUCUCAGUCCAGUUUUCUCUGUUUUUCUUAACAUAUUUUUUGCAACAUUAGAAGAAUAGAUUUGUUUGAAAUGAAAUUCAGUAUUCAUAAGCAUGUGUAAAUCAGUGUUUUAUUACCUGAAUGUAAAAAUUGUUUUGUUUUGUUAACUGAGAACAGGCUUUUUACAUCUACAUAAGAGCUUCACUGUAUGAAUUAGAUUCUAUUAUCCUAAAACCACGAAGAAAAGAUAUACUCCAGAACUGCAGAACUGCAAGUGGAAAAAAACAAGUCCGCAUACAUAAAUAAAUAAUCAAGGUAAAAUGUUUAAUUAACAACGCUCUUAAUUUUAAAAUCAUGUAGCCCACCAUUACGCUAGAUACCACUAAAUAUAGCAAUUUCAACGCACUACUUCAAUGUUGUGAUUUUUUAAAAAUCAACAGUUUUAACCUUACCAUGAAAAUCCUUCUUUUAUACUCUUCCAGCUUUGUUUUGGGCUUCUAAAAGCUAACUGGUGAACUCCUUGGCUCUCUACUCUUAGAAAAAUGAUGAGAAAAAUACACACCUUUUACUGCCAGACUUUUCAUCACUUUUCCCCCGGGUAAAAAGAGAUCAACAGUAGAGUGAAAAAAAUAGAUUUUCUCUGUUAAAAAUGACUGUCUAUAGCGCACGCCACGAGAGAAUUUCUCCCAGAAUGAAAAUAAAGCUUUGCAGUAGCAACAGUACAGGGGUGGUAAAUCAUGUGGAUGGUCCGAGAGAAGUUUUCAAAGGACAAGAUAAUCAGAGACUUUAGGGGUUUAGAUGGAGGAAGAUGUAGUCGUUCAAGUCCCAUAACCAGAGAACAGAAGCUAACUUUCAGCAGCAUUUUUACAUUAUGAGCUAGCUUCACAAAGCUAGUUAAGAUAUGGUGUUUUUUUGACUUUGCCAACAUUUAACACUGACAGAACAAGGCACAAGCACAUAUUUAUGUUACCAUGGGCAUCAUACAUCAUGCUGUUUUCUUUCCUAAUGGCGGAAUCAGGUUGCAUGAAUCCAAAUCAUAAGAAGGCAUUUUCCAAACAUAUGUUGUGUAACAUACACAUCGCCAAUUUUUGAAUGAAUAGAUCUUAAGUGGUAAAGUGAAGAGCCUGCCACCAGCAGGUUUCAAUGCCAGACUCAUUUAAUUCAGCAUGAACUGUGUGUGUGUGUUUGUAGAGGACGUCCAGUUUUCUAUGAGGCUGGUUUAAUUUUCAAAGCAGUGUGAAUGACCACAAAUGGGUUGUUGAUGCCACUGAACAGCUGGUUUGCAGGAAAAAUGCCGUCCAACAAACCUAUAUCAUCUUUCAGGUACAGUAUAUUUUGGCUAUGGAGAAUACUACUCUAUACUUUAAAUGGAGAGUAUUUCCAACAAGUGCUGGGAAACACAAGAAAAUUACAAAUACCACAAGAAUAUUUUGCUUUAUCGUUUAGGGUGACUUUAUUCUGAAUCCACAAAAAGAGGACACGACUACGCGGGGGCGGAGUGACAGAGUCAUGGUGUCACACGUAGUUAAUUUUGAGAGUUUUUCUGGUCGCAUCGAGUGUUUUUUACGCGCUUCUAACUCAGUUAGUUCACACAGCACAAACUCAAAACUUCAAUACAUUUUUGAGUACUCCCCCAGACAAAGCAGGACAAGGUCAGACAGGCCGGACAGCCCCUCAAAAGAGAGGACAUGUCCGGGUAAAAGAGGAUGUAUGUUCACCCUAUUAUCAUUGACAUAUAUUACAGUCAAGUCAACUUGAAUUGACUUUUUUUGUUUUGAAACAUACGGUGUCAAAUAAAAAAAAGGCAUGUUCAGUUUUCUUACUGAUUUUGGAGUCUUCACAAAAACCAUGACCUGGAUGAAUGAGAAUCUACAUUGACUUUUCUUACUGUGGUCUUGUUCUCAAAGACUCUUCACAAAAACAGCUCUAAGCAACAUAAAGGUGCAUUUAAUUGGACUUCUUGAGAAAGACAUUUCUAAACCAUUUAAAUCAGAGAGUCCUUUUUUCUUUCUGGCCAUAUUGGAAUAACUAAUUAUUUUUCAAAACACAAAAAACACAAAAUUUUCCCUGGGUCCAUUGAAAAACAUAUUUUAACACCAAUUUGUGAAGACAGAGUAAGAGUAAGAGUAAGCAAUACAGCUUUUAGUUAUUUUUUUUUAUAUAGGAUGAUCCUAAACAGAGGCAGGGAGAGCUGGAGAAAACAUAACAGAUUUAAUAUCAAUAAGUUUUAUGUUGUUUCACGUUUGAUGGGAGGUGACCAUCACAUUACUUCAAUCUGUCCGCCGUGACGGUAAAAACUUUAUCAUCCUCUUAAAGUGUUUGGCAAAGUCGUAUGAAGGUGCAUGGAGCUCUGUGCUGAUUUAAAAUUGAAGCAGGAGACUCACGGUUGAUGAACAGCCUCUCGGGGAACAGGUAGACCUGUCUGGGAUCUCUUUUUUUGCUCACUUCUGUCGCUCUCUCAGUGCCCUCCUCUGCCUCUCUCCGGAGAACAGUUUCUGGACGGGCGGGGGAAUGUGUUGUCUACAUUGACAAAAAGAGAGAGAGAAGGUGAGAAGUAAAACUCUGAAGAGGCGGCUUUCAAAGUCAGUGUUACAGUUUGCAGGACACUUGAUUUUACAUACAUUAUGUCAUGUGAAGCACAGCAGAUAAAGGCUGUCUUAUCCGGAGCAGAUCAUUAGCUGUAAUCUUGCACUUAUCACCCUGAAUGAAUCAACACGAAAAGAGCACACUGCCUUUUUUGCAGUCUAUCUGUGGUAAAUUGUCGUUUUUACACAGUAGACUCACUUGACACCAGUAAUAUCUGCUGAGUGUGAGAGAGCAGUUGAAUUCUCUGACUGCUCUCGCUGCGAUUGUCUUUUCCUAACUCCCAAUAUCCACCUCUCCUUAACCCUGUGACAUUCUCAAUCAGGGUUAAUGAAAAGAGGAUAGGACAGGACUUAGGGGGUCAUUUUUUGGACUUUAGACCUUCAAUCUUUCUAUUUCACUUUCUGGUUUAGCUGAGUUAAAAAAAGCAUCAUGUGCAGUGGCUCCAGUUCCCACUCUGUAGACCCAAGAUUUGAUUUUGUUAUAUUGUGAUAUUUUCUGAUUCUUAUCUGUUACAGUUGGGCAGUUGUAUUUACAGCUGUCACUGCAUGUUUUGUCGUAACAAUGUAAGUGACUCAUGCUCCUGAAUGCGAUGCUCUGCCUCAUCUCUCCCUUUGCCUUUUUGCCUGGAGAUGCAUCGCUGCCUUACGAGGCAGCAAGUAAAGCUCAGAGAAACAACAUCAUUCACUGUAACAUCCUUACAUUACCUAUUUGUUUUCUCUUUUCUGUGCUCACUGCCGCACUCCCCCCCCUUGAUUUAAAACAGGCUUCAUAUGAAGGCCUUACACUGUCUCGCUGCCUGUUGUUUACAACGCUGCGCCGCUGUUUUUCUUCUCUCCUGCCAUGAGACGGAGGACAAAGCUCAGGUAGCUCAUCCCACACACUGACCAAUAACACACAUCAUGGUGUCCAUAAGUCAGGGCUGUGAGGGUCUAUGGUGGUAAAGAAAAACAGCUUGUCUACUUCAACUGCCUUUGUGUCCAAAGGAUGCAUUUAUAAAGAUGUACGUUAGUCAUCCGCUGAGAUUAGUGGUCGACGGAGAUCGAUGUUUCAGCGGCUGAUGCUAAUUUGAGGACAGGUCAACCAGCGGCCAUUAUAUGAUGCCGAUAUCAUGCUGUUGAAAUAUUUCGUGGAGGUGGAUUGCUUUCAAGAGCCGUUCUAUGAAUGAGAUAACCUUAAACCUCUGGAUGUACGCCGAAUUCUUCUUGUUCAAAAUAAAACCACUGAAAUAUCUUCUUAACAAAAUUGAAGAAAAUCUGAAAACUUCAUUUUUCUUCGAGUGCCUCAUUUAGUGAACCAGCUUUUAAAAAAAAUCUAUUUACUGAGACCCAUUAUUCAAGUUACAGGGGGGGUUGUCCUUUCUCUAUAAUGGAAAAAGAAAUUGCAGCACUUCACCUUUGAAAAGACAAGUUGUUUGUUUUAUUUUUUAUUAAAUCCACAUGUAAAGGGAUUGUGCUCAAUUUCUGACUAAUUAAUUACAGGUCAGCGGAGUUCAUCCCUGCAAACUCCUGUAGCUGGUUCUUUGUGAGCAGAAGAAGAAAAGAAACUCGAUUACUGCUCUAAUCACAAAUAGAGAGACUUCUUAACAACCUCAAGUGCCAAAGAGAAGGUCCAAAGACACACACAAAAAAGUGUGUCACUGCCAGGCUCGAUGUAAUUGUUGUAAUGGCUCCUUCCCCAUCCCCACUGAACAGUAGUUUCUCUUCCUAAAGGGUAAUGGAAAAACUUUGGACACUUCUCCGGUGUAAGGAGGGCUGUUUAACAAACUGGCACUUUGUUGCUUAAAGAUAUUACAAGCACAUAUAGGUGAUAGACUAACUGCUUUGUUAAAAUGGCUCCCGGGAAAGCAAGGUUACUCCCUCUCCAACGCUUCUUAUUGAGGUCACACCGCUGUUUUGUGCGCGAUUGUGUUACCUUUAUAAGUGUCUUUUUUCAGCUCAAUGCAAUUACUUUAUUCAUAAUUGUGUGUAUUUAUUUUGUCUGCCUAUUGAGUCCUGGGGCAAACAUGAGAUUUCUCUGUUAUUGUUCACUGCAGGAAGUAUAUUUUGUGUCCAAUUUCUUUCUGUGCAUUCUCCCUCACAGGAUUUGUGUCAAACUUGAUAUUCACAGAAAAUAUACAAAUUAUAUUUUAUUGAUUUUACAACCUUUAAAGGGAUAUUGUGCGUAAAAUUAAUUUAGGGUCAAACACUCCCUAACAUGGAGUUAGACACCCCCUCGAGAGAUGAAAGUUGGUGACCGCUUGCUUCUCUAGUUUUACCAACUUUGGUAACGACCGCACGAUAGCAAUACACAGCGGUCUGAGGAGCCAUAAACAAACCUGAACCAAAAUGCCACUCUAUAGCCACAAAUAAUGCUCAGAACAGCACCUAACUUCAUCAACAGUAUUUUAAGGGUCCUAGCCACAGCACUAGCCACCAAACAUCUUUUUAACUUUGCCUUAUUUCUUAAGCAAAGAGACUAAACACAACUCACCUACUCUCCUCCAGCAGCCGCUUGUUUGUAGAGACCUCAGGCCAGUCCAUUAUGGACUACAGCGGGGUGUCACAGCUCAAGGAAGAACAUUUAGAAGAACUACAAAAUGAUUAUUUUGAUGAUUGUUACUUCAAGGAAAUGAUAAAAAAAUGAUCAUAAAUGUUCUUCCUUCAGCUGCAUCACCCCGCAGCAGUCCGUAAUGGACUGGCCUGAGGUCUCGCUGAAUAUUGAAUAUGAACUUGUAAUAAACUAGGCUCGUCACACUGAAAAUCAAAUUCGUUUGCAUUCGACAUUUGUACUGACCUUUCGUACAAAUGUUUAAACCAUAAGUCUUGACCUACACUGGCCAGCACACACAGGUCGCAAAAGGUCUACAAAUAUUGAGUAGUCUAAGUAAGACUUAUUUAUUCUAAAAGAUCUUCUCAAUAAGUCUUUGCCAAUAGCCUGUAAGCAGCUUCAUCUCUGCUGGCCUUUCUGUAAGGGAGACGUUUUUCAAGCUAAACUAUCCUCCCACAGUUCAAUGACCUCAAGUAACGACCUUGUCCUAUCAUGUCAAUCAGUUUCUAAAAGUUUUAAGUCAGUCCAUACUGCAUGUAUUAACUCUGUGACGUGACCAUGGUUUUAUUUAUCAUCCUGAUGGUACAGACUCACUACAUGCAGCCAAGAUGCCCUGAGACACGCCGCCCACCUCAGCUGCUUCACUUGCUGUCCUUAAUUGAUGAGUGUUCAAACAAACAAACUAACAGCCCACAUGUUUUAUUUGCUCACUAGCACUGUUUUAUUUAAAUGCAUGAUUUUGACAUGAUGAGGGAGAAAAGAUAUAAAACAGUGGCACUGCAAGGUAUCAAAAGAUGCUUCACACUGAGAAGCAGACUGUUGAAAUAGACAACAAAUAAUAAACUCCGGGCAGGUAAAUGGACACAGUCCUGUAAUGAGAGGGAAUGUGAGCGAGAGAUCAAAUCUCCAGGAUCAAAAGCCUCUAUAUUUAAUUUUCUCUGGACCAUGAAAGUGUGCGCCAAACCAUGACUGCCAUACAGAAGUUAGCCAAAGAUUAAAUGUGAAAAUUCAAAAGAUGUUGAGUGUUUCUUGUUCAGAGUUUAAAACCGGUUUCAAUAAAACCCUUCAGAAAAACUGCACCCUCAAGUACAAAUAUGAGCACAAACUGCUCAGACCAAAGUCAUUAUUUUGUACAAGGCUUUGAAUAUGAAACAGGAGCAAACAUGGAGGUUGCCUCUUUGUUUAAAUGAACAAUGCCACUAUUUUACAAUAUUGUGUGAAACGUCACUGAUAGAUCCCUCUUCAGCCCCAGAGUAUUAUACUUUUUAUGAAAAGACGAACAAACAAAUGGCCAAUUAUGCCUCUUAUUCUUAGACAUUUUUAAACAUGAGAGUAAACUAGGGUGAACAUAUUCUGAAUCCCCAAAAAGAGGACACGACUACGCAGGGUGAAGUCGCGUGCAAGAUUUUGAGGGGUUUUCAAGUCGAAUCGAGUGUUUUUUCUGAUGCUAGAAAAACUCAAAACUUUCAUACAAAACCCAGACAUUUGAAGGGUUUUAUCAAUUCCCCCCCGGACAGGAAAAGAGCCCCUAAAAAGAGGACAUGUCCGGGUAAAAGAGGACGUAUGGUCACCCUAAACUCUAGAGUAAACCCAAAGC